Molecule: non-coding RNA, 28 nt
Filed under: Mus musculus (house mouse)
Lineage: Eukaryota; Metazoa; Chordata; Mammalia; Rodentia; Muridae
Source: RNAcentral
UGGCCAUUGCACUCAGUGUAACUGCCUG